CCGGAAGCGUGGAGAGAGGGAGGGGGUGGGAACGCAGCCCUCAGGCUCCGCUGCAGCGCCUGCCUGCUCCCAGCCUCACCUCCGAAGGCUCUCGCCAAGUCGUUGAAUUGCAGAUGCUGGCUCUAACUCACAAUCUUCCUGCCUCAGCCUCCCACUUGGAUUAUAGACAGGCACCAUCACGUGCAGCGACGCCAGAGCUUUUCAGUAGCUGCCCAGGUAGGACCGGGAGGCAGAGUUCUGAGCCACUGCCCUGACACCAAAGCCUCAUCCGGCGUGACCAGGACCCCCCCGCUGGCGGUGUGAGCUGAGUGCAGGAAGGUCCUGCAGAGGCGCCUCCGCGCCGCUCCCAAAACUGUCCUUUUUCCCCAUGUGGCCACAACCGGCCCCGGGACAGUGCCCCAGUGACAAAGGCGCCUGCAGGCUCCUCCCACCACGCAGAGCGACCCAGGGCUACUGGACGCUCAGGACUGUCAACCACGGGUGAUUAAAAACCUCCACCUCCGCCCUCUGCCCAGGGGUGAGCUGCCCGUCUCUGAGAGGAGGAAGUGGUAACUGGUGGCAGAGACAAGAUCCCUGCCGGACCUUCUGAAAGCCUCCUGACCGCCCACCUUUGUGCCUGGAGUGUCCUGCCCUGAUGGUGCACACCCACGCCACCCCAACCCAGGAGACAUGAAAUGCACAACACACGCAGAAAACACGCACCCUGCGGCUCACAGACGCGCGAGGCACAGCACGCACAGCGCAGAGCGGCUGGUGUGAUGCUGCCGCUCCACCAGCCCACUGCCCGGAGCCUCCAGGACUGGCGGUGGGGGUGGAGGCAGCGCCACCCCGUGAGGAAAGUGUCCAGCAAACCAGCCUGGGCUCCUGCUCUCCCCGGGGCCCACGCCGCAGUGGGGCCGGGUCCCAAGCCGGGUUACAGACGCUGCUGGCAAAUGCUUGGCACCAUCUGGGGAGGACACUCCUGGGCCUGACCCGGGGUGGCCGUGGCUCUCUUAUCUGCAUGGGACCAGAGCUGGCAAUCCACGCCAUAAAUGUUCUUUUCUGCGUCAUUCCGGCUUGGGACUUCGUCAAAAACACCUUGGGGGCUCCGUGCGGAAGGGCCUGGUUUCCAUCUCCAAACCUGAACUGAAAACUGCAGCCCUCGGCAGGAGUGCAGAGAGGAGUGGAUGUGCCCCUCGCAGUGCUCUGCCUUCAUUGCGCCUCGACUUGGCUCGGCACUUGCCGCGAGGUCUCGGGCUGCGUGUGGCCUUGCUCUGGGGGCCCCUCCUGAACUGGCCUCCCUGCGUCCACGUCAGGCACGGUGUGUGCCACGGGGUGCAGCACGGGGAAAGCUGCGGCGCGGCCUGUUUGCAGCCAGGUCGCAGUCACAGUCUCAGGUUUCCCAGCUGAACACAGGACCCAACCACCACCUUGCAAACACCUCUUACCUGCAUCCGGUUGCCAUGGGAACUCAAGGAGAGCCAAGGCUGAAGCCACCUGAGACACCUGAGUCUAGGGCGGGCUUGUAGCCCUCAGAGCAGCCUGUGCAGAUCUCAGUCUCACGGCCACCGGUCAGGGAGGGUGUGCAAGAAGACCUCUCUACGCACAGACGCCACCAGGCCACCAUGGCAUGCACUAUAAAGCAUGUGAGGUAGGACUGACAUGUGAAUGCUUGAAAUUUUAAGACACACUGCCAUGAAUCCCCCUCAAAUACCCCCUCACUUUGAGCACACUCACCCAUGGUCCCUGCCACUUCCUGCAGCGGCUCUGGAGUCCUCUCUCCUGAGGGUCUUCACCAGGUGUGAUAAAGAUACAGUGACUGCUGCUGCCGAGCGCCACCCAACAGAAAGCAGCUGGCAAAACAUGACGCCAUGUCCUCAUCUGGAUCUGGCACUGUUGACUCCUGGCUUCUGGCAAAGUCAAAAUUACUAGAAGAUGUUCACUAAGACCCCAAGUUCAGCUAACCAGGCCCUUGGCUUUCACAGUGGGACAGGUCAGGGCCAUCAGGGAGAGCCAGGCUCCUGGGGCUCGUGUCCCAGGCUCAGCUCUGGCCGAGGGAGACAUCGCUGGUUGACUCAGCCAGGAAACUUCGCAUCUUUGCUGCUACCAAUUAGUUGUUCCUGCAAAUUCACUGGAAGGCAUCGCCUUGUGACUUGCUAAGAAGCAGAAUCAGGGCCUUGUAUUGGGAAGCUUGCUGAUUGGACAGAGAGUGACUCCUCUACUUCUUAAAGCCAAUGGCCAGGACACUCAUUCUUUUGGUUGAUGACAAAAACUCUACUCUCUCUUUCCAGAAGGCUUUCAAGUGUCUCUCUGAAAGAUAUUAAUUUCUCACUCAUUAUUUUUAAAGUCACCUUUAUCUUGAAGGUAGGAAUUAGCAGUGUUACUUUUAAAAUAUCUACCGAGAAGCUAUUUCUGACAGCCAUUUAUUUUCCCAGUGACGGGUCCCAAAAUUUGAACUAUUAUUUUUAUUUAAAAAAGAAAACUGCCUAAUUCAUCUUCAAGUCCAAGACACUUUUAACUACCUGCUAUAAUUUAACUGGAGCCAUCCUUUGUGGUACACAGUAUUUUUAUAGUCAUUCUCCACAAAGUGUUAUAAAUAUUACAUUACAAAGUAUUAUAAAUGUCCUGUGUUUUCAUGGCUGGUUUUAUCUGUACUGGCAAUGGCUCUCUCUUCAGUCCAUGGGGUAGGUUAUAAUUUUUCCAACUGACAUACAUUUAUUUAUUUAUUUAUUUUUGAUACAGGGUCUCACUAUGUAGUUCAGGCUGGACUUGAACUCAGUAUGGAGCCCAGGCUUGCCUCGAACUCAUGGCAAUCCUCCUGCCUCAGCCUCCCGAGUGCCAAGAUUACAGAUGUGUGCCAUCACACCCAGUGUGAUAUUUAUU
Heterocephalus glaber (naked mole-rat) is the source of this 2862-nucleotide long non-coding RNA. The record is from Ensembl. NCBI's taxonomy places the organism in Eukaryota, Metazoa, Chordata, Mammalia, Rodentia, Bathyergidae.